RNAcentral lists this ribosomal RNA (529 nucleotides) under uncultured bacterium. RNAcentral's name for it is "bacterial SSU rRNA". It matches the Rfam family "Bacterial small subunit ribosomal RNA", at positions 777 to 1304 of the family's 1533-position model. The record is from RNAcentral.
AAUAGAUACCCAGGUAGUCCACGCCGUAAACGAUGAGUGCUAAGUGUUAGAGGGUUUCCGCCCUUUAGUGCUGCAGCUAACGCAUUAAGCACUCCGCCUGGGGAGUACGGCCGCAAGGCUGAAACUCAAAGGAAUUGACGGGGGCCCGCACAAGCGGUGGAGCAUGUGGUUUAAUUCGAAGCAACGCGAAGAACCUUACCAGGUCUUGACAUCCUCUGACACUCCUAGAGAUAGGAUUUUCCCCUUCGGGGGACAGAGUGACAGGUGGUGCAUGGUUGUCGUCAGCUCGUGUCGUGAGAUGUUGGGUUAAGUCCCGCAACGAGCGCAACCCUUGAUCUUAGUUGCCAGCAUUUAGUUGGGCACUCUAAGGUGACUGCCGGUGACAAACCGGAGGAAGGUGGGGAUGACGUCAAAUCAUCAUGCCCCUUAUGACCUGGGCUACACACGUGCUACAAUGGAUGGUACAAAGGGCUGCAAGACCGCGAGGUUUAGCCAAUCCCAUAAAACCAUUCUCAGUUCGGAUUGCAGG